CAAUUCAUAUCACCACAGUAACUUACCAUUGUGCUUCAUUUGGUUGGUGUGAUGGAAAAUUAAGAGGAAUGAGAAGGUUGAGGGAUAUAAAAGGUUAAAUAAUGAUUUGACAGUUGAACAUUUAGAUUGUGGUAACUAGGUUUUCAUAGCAGUUACAUGAACUUUUCAGAUUGUGGAAUUUUGGUUCUUCAUAAUUAUUUCUUAUUCCCUAUCCGAAGUAAAACAUAACGUGUUAAAAUGAAGACUCAAAACUCUGUUAGUAUAACACUUGUUACCGGGUGUUGCAUAUUUGAAAAUGUUGCCAUCCCUUGUGCUUAAUUGACUGCAUUAGUUAGGAACUGACUUGCAUCCUAACAGAAGCUCGUAUAAAUGCUAACUAUUCUUUAUUUAUGUUGAAGGUUAAACUAUACUCAAAGCAUAAUAGGAAAACCAAUUGAACAGAUUGAAACAGACGUAAGGCUCGCCAAGUACUUUAGUCCAAGUGAAGCAGUUGAAUAUGGCAUUAUUGAUAAGGCAAAAUGACAUCUGGAAGGAAUGGAGUAGCUGAUUUAACUUUUAUGGUAGUUCUCUUUACACCUUGCUCCUGCUUUUUGAUUAUUAUCUUGUUACAGUUGUUGGGUUGCAAUGAGAGUGAUUGAAGAGAGGCCUUGUUGGUUGGUAGAACGGUUAUACCUUUUGUUGCUCACUAAUCCGUCCCUCUUUCAUCCCCACCUCACCAAGUGUAGGAAGGAGAUUUUGAGUCAUAGUGUUGGAACUAUGAAUCACACACACAGAUGCUUUAGUUUCUCAAUCCCAACAGUGUAUUAUUUAUCAUAUUUUAAGUGGAUAUGACCCACCAAUUGAAAGAGCA
Camellia sinensis is the source of this 850-nucleotide non-coding RNA. Lineage: Eukaryota; Viridiplantae; Streptophyta; Magnoliopsida; Ericales; Theaceae. The record is from RefSeq and is a predicted model, not a curated record.